AACGCAUUUGCAGUGCAUAAUUAUUGAUGGCCAAUUGGGAGAUUAGGAGAUGGUCAAGCCUCUCAUGGAGGAAAUAGCUGCGUGCCAUGCUUAAUAUGCAGGUUGCAUGUUGGGAAAAUACAGGUCAGCCAAUGGGAAAGGAGGAACCCAAUGGGCAUACGUCGUGAUAAAGACGUCUUUUACUGGUUGAAAUCUGGUCGGGACGUCUUAUAACUAGAUCACAACCGGAUUAAGACAUCUUAUCAAUUCAUUAACACCAAUCUAUACAAACGUUAGCUAGUUUUAAGUAGCUAACGUUAGUCCUCUGGCUAAUCCUCCAUGGACAUGUUUCUGAAACAUAUAAGUGACCUGAUGCAUGGCCUCUACAGCAGUGCUUGGCCAGCCACUCAGUUACGAAUGACUUAUUCAGCCACAUUCCAGGGAGAGAGCAGAACCACCCCUCAUUCAAUCCAUAGUUACUGAAGAUCUGCCCCAUCACACCAGUCUUCAAGAGGGCCACUAUGCUCCAGAUCUGACCCAUCACACCACUCUUCAAGAGGGCCACUAUACUCCAGAUCUGACCCAUCACACCACUCUUCAAGAGGGCCACUAUGCUCCAGAUCUGACCCAUCACACCACUCUUCAAGAGGGCCACUACGUUCUAGAUCUGACCCAUCACACCAGUCUUCAAGAGGGCCACUAUGCUCCAGAUCUGACCCAUCACACCACUCUUCAAGAGGGCCACUACGUUCUAGAUCUGACCCAUCACACCAGUCUUCAAGAGGGCCACUGUGCUCCAGAUCUGACCCAUCACACCACAUUUCAAGAGGGCCACUAUGCUCCAGAUCUGACACAUCACACCAGUCUUCAAGAGGGCCACUAUGAUCUAUCACAAAUGUGA
This 880-nucleotide long non-coding RNA is filed under the name Oncorhynchus kisutch (coho salmon). RNAcentral's name for it is "lncRNA (ENSOKIG00005009031.1)". Lineage: Eukaryota; Metazoa; Chordata; Actinopteri; Salmoniformes; Salmonidae. The record is from RNAcentral.